This 582-nucleotide ribosomal RNA is filed under the name uncultured Ralstonia sp. Its description in RNAcentral is "partial 16S ribosomal RNA". It matches the Rfam family "Bacterial small subunit ribosomal RNA", at positions 845 to 1533 of the family's 1533-position model. Lineage: Bacteria; Pseudomonadati; Pseudomonadota; Betaproteobacteria; Burkholderiales; Burkholderiaceae. The record is from RNAcentral.
AACGUAGCUNACGCGUGAAGUUGACNGNNUGGNNAGUACGGUCGCAAGAUUUAAAACUCAAAGGAAUUGACGGGGACCCGCACAAGCGGUGGAUGAUGUGGAUUAAUUCGAUGCAACGCGAAAAACCUUACCUACCCUUGACAUGCCACUAACGAAGCAGAGAUGCAUUAGGUGCUCGAAAGAGAAAGUGGACACAGGUGCUGCAUGGCUGUCGUCAGCUCGUGUCGUGAGAUGUUGGGUUAAGUCCCGCAACGAGCGCAACCCUUGUCUCUAGUUGCUACGAAAGGGCACUCUAGAGAGACUGCCGGUGACAAACCGGAGGAAGGUGGGGAUGACGUCAAGUCCUCAUGGCCCUUAUGGGUAGGGCUUCACACGUCAUACAAUGGUGCAUACAGAGGGUUGCCAAGCCGCGAGGUGGAGCUAAUCCCAGAAAAUGCAUCGUAGUCCGGAUCGUAGUCUGCAACUCGACUACGUGAAGCUGGAAUCGCUAGUAAUCGCGGAUCAGCAUGCCGCGGUGAAUACGUNNCCGGGUCUUGUACACCACCCGCCCGNNCACCACCCAUGGGNGUGGGCUUUUANCAG